This 597-nucleotide small RNA is filed under the name Pongo abelii (Sumatran orangutan). RNAcentral describes it as "retained intron". Lineage: Eukaryota; Metazoa; Chordata; Mammalia; Primates; Hominidae. The record is from RNAcentral.
ACGUGAUCACGUGCCCUUCAAACUUUUAAGAACUCUGAGCAGAGGCCAGUAAUUUUGGAGACAGGACCUCGGCCUGAAAGUGACAGAUGUCUUUGUUGUUGCUGAGUGUGGGCCAGGUGGGAGGUUUGUAAACGGGGGAUGAGGAACAGAGCGGGACCGGAGUGUCUCAUUUUUCCUCUUCUCGUUUUCCUGGGGAGUUAUAAGUUAGACAUUUAUGCUGCUUCCUUUGUCUCCACCUACACUGGUUCAGCUCCUUUUGGCACAAAGAUUCAACAAAUUGAGUGUUUGUUUUUUGAGACAGAGUCUCACUCUGUCGCCCAGGCUGGAGUGCAGUGGUGUGAUCUCAGCUCACUGCAACCUCCGCCACCCGGGUUCAAGCGAUUCUCCUGCCUCAGCCUCCUAAGUAGCUGGGAUUACAGGCACCCAUCACCGCACCCAGCUAAUUUGUUUUGUUGUUGUUGUUGUUUUGUUUGUUUUUUUGAGAUGGAGUUUCGCUCUCGUUGCCCAGGCUGGAGUGCAAUGGCGCGAUCUCGGCUCACCACAACCUCCGCCUCCCGGGUUCAAGUGAUUCUUCUGCCUCAGCUUCCUGCGUAGCUG